CCUAGAGUGGUGUAAUGGCAACAUCCUUAGUUGACACACGGCCAUAGGCCGUGCCCUUCGGGGGCCGGGGGACCUGGGUUCGAUUCCCAGCUCUGGGG
Molecule: non-coding RNA, 98 nt
Organism: Xylaria palmicola
Lineage: Eukaryota; Fungi; Ascomycota; Sordariomycetes; Xylariales; Xylariaceae
Source: the annotation of a GenBank genome assembly